Long non-coding RNA from Agrilus planipennis (emerald ash borer), 1158 nucleotides. RefSeq lists it as uncharacterized. The record is from RefSeq and is a predicted model, not a curated record. Lineage: Eukaryota; Metazoa; Arthropoda; Insecta; Coleoptera; Buprestidae. The transcript is spliced from 5 exons.
AUGUCUCUACGGAACACUUCCGCCCUGGCGUGACUUGACUUGACGCAGAUUUUCGAGGAGUCGCCAUUAACGUUUUUGCAGUUCAUGUUCGGAAAUGGCACCUGAAGUAUAGUCAAACCUAUACUGGUCAAACCCUGGACGAUAAGAUAACAUCCUUGGAUUAGAAAGACAAAUUACUCAUAUACAGAUGUAGCUGUGGCAGGCAGACUGUAAUUCUUAUUUCCGAGGAUGCUUUUAAUGAGCUGGGCGAAAAUUUCUGAAGGCAUAGGAUAUUAACAAUGGUAAUAUUCAUUCAACAGGUAUGAUUUAAGCAUAAUAAGUGAAAAUGGAGACAAAUGAGAAGGAAUCGAAGUAUGAUGAAGUGAAGUCUGGUUCAUGGUUUCUUCCCUUGGAGUUGCUAAAGGAAGGAUUUAUGACAAUAAACUGAUUGCCCAACAAAGGAGAUGGAUAUAGAUAAGUUGAUGUUCGGGCCGUGGUUGACUGAAAAACUCUUGAAAAUGUUCACCACAGUUGUGGAUGAAACGUCGGGAAAACAUCUCAACAGACUACGGCUCAUCUGCCUGGACUACAACUCGCCUAUAUUCGACGCCGAGCGUGAGAGUCUACAAUCAACAUUAAAUGAGAUGGAGUUACAAUUAAUUUUGAUGCUACUGAAACCACCACUGCUUUUGAUGUCUUCACAUAAUGCAGUUAAUUUUGGACCUGUGAAAGAGAAGCAACUGGAAAUUGGAAACCUUUGAAACAACAGAUUUGUUUGCAGUGGUAGUCCUCGUGGAUUUGGUUGCAGUUGAUUAAGAUUGCCCAGCAAACGAGAGAAUUACAAUUCAGUUUGGUCCUACUGAAACAAGUAAUGUCUACAUGGGUGUGGUCUUUCAUGGAUUUUCUUGAUUUGCUGAUUUUGUCUUCGCCUUGCAACAUUAUGCGGUUAAUUUUCAAUCGACGAGUGAGAGCAACUGGAGAUUUAUUCAAGUUCCAGUGAAACAACAUAUUUUCUGCUAUGAUAUUCCUCCCGGAUUUGGUUUCCUUUUCACGCAUGCAAACUUUGGAAUGUUACAGUCUACAGUUAAUUAAGAUCGACGUUGGAGAAGACAGAUGACCCCAUGGUUAAAAUAGUUCUUUAUCUUGCAUGCUCUAUUUAGUAGAAUUCAUUAAGUCAAU